AUGACCUAUGUUGUGUUGAAGGGAUAUCUAUAUGAUCCGAUCGAUUGCAUAAGACCCGCGGUAGCAAUAGAACGGGGAAAGUAUACAGAAAAGACAGUUCUUUUCAAUUUCGAUUAUCUAUAUAUUAGUUCAUUUCUAUUUCUAGAUGCGAUCAAACAAUUCCAUCGAAUUGAGUAUGACUGUAUGUGUGAUAGCAUCUACUAUACCAGGAAUAUCAAUGACCCCCAUUCUUGCAAUUGCUCAGGAUACCCUCUUUUAGCUGCUAGGUCUAUUUCUUAG
RNAcentral lists this ribosomal RNA (279 nucleotides) under Triticum aestivum (bread wheat). RNAcentral describes it as "partial small subunit ribosomal RNA". Lineage: Eukaryota; Viridiplantae; Streptophyta; Magnoliopsida; Poales; Poaceae. The record is from RNAcentral.